UUUUCACCUACUUCGAAGUGAAAAUCCUUACGCUUUGGAUCCGCGUAACUCUUCUGCCUAUCUCGGGCAGCUUUGAGACGGUCUCGAAUCUGGACAAUCUUGUCCGUCGUCUCGAAGACUAUCUCUGGUCCUGAUAAUUGGACAUCUCCAACUUCCGCCCAACAAACAGGCGAUCUACACUUUCUACCGUAUAAUGCCUCGAAAGGCGCAGCCUUAUGCUGGUAUGGUAGCUAUUGUUGUAGGAGAAUUCGAUUAAUGGUAGGUUCUUAUCCCAACUACCACCCAAAUCGAUAGCACAUGCACGUAGCAUGUCUUCCAACGUUUGAAUAGUACGCUCACUCUGACCGUCUGUCUGAGGAUGGUAAGCCGUACUAAAAUUCAAACGUGUGCCCAAAGAUUGCUGGAAGCUUUUCCAGAAAUGAGACGUGUAUCUAGUAUCUCGGUCAGAGAUAAUAGACACAGGUAUGCCAUGUAAGGCUACAAUCUUAUCAACGUAUAACUGGGCUAACAUGUCGGAGCUAUAAGUCUCCUUGAUGGGCUGUUGUAGCAAGCCUGACGGCUUUUGAUGCUCAGCUUUGACUUGCGCACAAGUCAAGCAUUUGGCUACAUAAGCGGCUACAGACUUUUUC
This 629-nucleotide long non-coding RNA is filed under the name Helianthus annuus (common sunflower). RNAcentral describes it as "hypothetical non coding rna". Lineage: Eukaryota; Viridiplantae; Streptophyta; Magnoliopsida; Asterales; Asteraceae. The record is from RNAcentral.